RNAcentral lists this ribosomal RNA (479 nucleotides) under uncultured bacterium. RNAcentral's name for it is "partial 16S ribosomal RNA". It matches the Rfam family "Bacterial small subunit ribosomal RNA", at positions 28 to 507 of the family's 1533-position model. The record is from RNAcentral.
GAUGAACGCUAGCGGGAGGCCUAACACAUGCAAGCCGAGCGGUAUUGUUUCUUCGGAAAUGAGAGAGCGGCGUACGGGUGCGUAACACGUGUGCAACCUGCCUUUAUCUGGGGGAUAGCCUUUCGAAAGGAAGAUUAAUACUCCAUAAUAUAUUGAACGGCAUCGUUUAAUAUUGAAAGCUCCGGCGGAUAGAGAUGGGCACGCGCAAGAUUAGCUAGUUGGUGAGGUAACGGCUCACCAAGGCGAUGAUCUUUAGGGGGCCUGAGAGGGUGAUCCCCCACACUGGUACUGAGACACGGACCAGACUCCUACGGGAGGCAGCAGUGAGGAAUAUUGGUCAAUGGGUGCAAGCCUGAACCAGCCAUCCCGCGUGAAGGACGACUGCCCUAUGGGUUGUAAACUUCUUUUGUAUAGGGAUAAACCUACCCUCGAGAGGGUAGCUGAAGGUACUAUACGAAUAAGCACCGGCUAACUCCGCG